UAGAGUUUGAUCCUGGCUCAGAACGAACGCUGGCGGCAUGCCUAACACAUGCAAGUCGAACGAAGGCUUCGGCCUUAGUGGCGCACGGGUGCGUAACGCGUGGGGAUCUGCCCUUUGCUUCGGAAUAACAGUUAGAAAUGACUGCUAAUACCGGAUGAUGUCGUAAGACCAAAGAUUUAUCGGCAAAGGAUGAACCCGCGUAGGAUUAGCUAGUUGGUGGGGUAAAGGCCUACCAAGGCGACGAUCCUUAGCUGGUCUGAGAGGAUGAUCAGCCACACUGGGACUGAGACACGGCCCAGACUCCUACGGGAGGCAGCAGUGGGGAAUAUUGGACAAUGGGCGAAAGCCUGAUCCAGCAAUGCCGCGUGAGUGAUGAAGGCCUUCGGGUUGUAAAGCUCUUUUACCAGGGAUGAUAAUGACAGUACCUGGAGAAUAAGCUCCGGCUAACUCCGUGCCAGCAGCCGCGGUAAU
RNAcentral lists this ribosomal RNA (471 nucleotides) under bacterium enrichment culture clone ACBac29. RNAcentral describes it as "bacterial SSU rRNA". It matches the Rfam family "Bacterial small subunit ribosomal RNA", at positions 1 to 524 of the family's 1533-position model. The record is from RNAcentral.